UCGAAUUCUCAAAAGAAAUUGUGGUAUUGAAUGGAUUCCAUUCAGUUCUGUUUCACUCUACAUGUGACGCUGCAGAAACAAGAAAAAUUGUUCUAAACUUUUAAUACAUAUAAAGUUAGGUCCCAAUCCCUUAAAUUGUGGAGCAUUGUUGCUAAACAAUGUCCUAAACAAUUUCCCAAAUCCCUUAGGGUUUGUUUGGGAGUUGGAUUUUGGAGGGAAAAGAAGGAAAAUGAAAGGCUUGAGAGUCAUCUCACAAGUGUAUUUCAUGACUCCCAAACCUUCCAUUUUCCUUACUUCCCCUCCAAAACAAGCCCUUAAUUUGUUUAGCAUUGUUGCUAAACAAUGUCCCAAAUCCAGUGAUCAUAGUAUAGAGGUGAUAUCUCAAAUCUGAUACUACUGAGAUGGAAGAGAAAGUUGAAGAUAUCACAUUAUAGCAAGAAAAAUUGGAUCUAAGCAGACAAAAUAACCCACAUGCAGACAGAAAAAAAGUUAAAAAAGUUUCAUCAGAGCAAUCUUCCACUAAACAUAGCAAUAUAACGACAAUUAAGCUUUAUCCCACUAUGACAUCUCUGCUAUAUGGAUCAAAUGAUGCCAAAAUGAACGGUUGCUCAACUCAUCAACCAAACAAUUUGCACAAUCAUAGAAAUCAGAACCCCUUUCUGUCAGUGCCCUGUGAAGAAAACAAGAGUGGCAUGUAUAUUAAGUGCACCCGCACAUAGCUCUUGUUGCAGCUGAAAAGAUAUAUUUUUUUUUAAAAAACCAUGCAUGUCCAAUUAGCAACAAAGGAACCCAAUGAUGUACCCAAAAGAUCACAUUUAGCCAAGAAUCCUGCCAAAAGGUCAAUAACAUUAAUAAAGCACAGGCCAAAACAGAUAUCUAGCAAAUAAGAAACUAGGUGAAUUAGACAUUCAAUAAUUUACCGGCUCUACUACUUUUUAUCAAGGCCCUGAAACAGGAUAGCCAAAUGGAAUUCUACUUUUAAAACUUUUCUGAUUUCUCCCAAUGAUAAGAAGCAAACUCC
Molecule: long non-coding RNA, 1021 nt
Filed under: Lupinus angustifolius (narrow-leaved blue lupine)
Lineage: Eukaryota; Viridiplantae; Streptophyta; Magnoliopsida; Fabales; Fabaceae
Description: long non-coding RNA (LANG_LNC000679)
Source: RNAcentral